RNAcentral lists this ribosomal RNA (393 nucleotides) under uncultured Salinarimonas sp. RNAcentral describes it as "bacterial SSU rRNA". It matches the Rfam family "Bacterial small subunit ribosomal RNA", at positions 97 to 524 of the family's 1533-position model. Lineage: Bacteria; Pseudomonadati; Pseudomonadota; Alphaproteobacteria; Hyphomicrobiales; Salinarimonadaceae. The record is from RNAcentral.
GGCAGACGGGUGAGUAACACGUGGGAACGUGCCCAUCGGUUCGGAAUAACCCAGGGAAACUUGGGCUAAUACCGGAUACGUGCGCAAGCAGAAAGAUUUAUCGCCGAUGGAUCGGCCCGCGUCUGAUUAGCUAGUUGGUGAGGUAAUGGCUCACCAAGGCGACGAUCAGUAGCUGGUCUGAGAGGAUGAUCAGCCACACUGGGACUGAGACACGGCCCAGACUCCUACGGGAGGCAGCAGUGGGGAAUAUUGGACAAUGGGCGCAAGCCUGAUCCAGCCAUGCCGCGUGAGUGAUGAAGGCCCUAGGGUUGUAAAGCUCUUUUCGCACGCGACGAUAAUGACGGUAGCGUGAGAAGAAGCCCCGGCUAACUUCGUGCCAGCAGCCGCAGUAAU